Molecule: non-coding RNA, 28 nt
Filed under: Mus musculus (house mouse)
Lineage: Eukaryota; Metazoa; Chordata; Mammalia; Rodentia; Muridae
Source: RNAcentral
UGAGCACUGCCCCUUUUUCAUUUUGAAG